ACACGCAGCAGUGGAGGACAGUGAGAGGAUCUUUACUGAGCUGAUCCGCUCCAUUGAGAGAAGGCGCUUUGAGGUGAAAGCACUGAUCAGAGAUCAGGAGAAGGCUGAAGUGAGUCGGGCUGAAGGACUUUUGGAGCGACUGGAAGAGGAGAUUACUGAGCUGAGGAGGAGAGAUGCUGAGCUGGAGCAGCUUUCACACACAGAAGAUGACAUCCACUUCCUCCAGAUUUGCCCGUCUCUCUUUGUCCCUCCUGCUCCAGAAGACCUACCCAACACCACUAUCAACCCACAUUUCUCCUUUGAGUCUGUAAGGAAAUGUGUUUCUGAGCUGAAAGAGCGACUGGAGGACGUCUUCAAGGAGGAAAUGCCCAAGAUCUCCAAGGCAGGCAGAGCAGUGGGCACAUAUGGCUGCUUUACUGAGACCGGGGAGCCUUCAGAAGCCAGAGCCACAGCAGCUGAAGUGAAGACCUGUCCCCUUUGCAUGAAGCCCUUGCAGGAGAAGCAGGGACUGAUGUGGUCUCAUGACUUCUGUGCAGACUGUCUGAAAGAUCUCGGUCUCCAGUGUCCAGUGCCCAAUGCGUCUAAAAGACACCAGCUAGAGGGACAUAUGACAUGGAAACCUUGCACCUUUAAUGAAGAGAAAUUUUUAUGGAUUACAUACAAUAUUCCCAGUGGAAUACAGAAGGAGGGCCAUCCCAACCCAGGGAAGCUCUUUACGAGAAAGGCGAUAGGGGCCUGGUUACCAGACAACCCAGAGGGCCGGGAGGUGCUGAAGCUGCUGCAAAGAGCCUUUGACCAGAAGCUGGUUUUUACAAUUGUAGCAACCAAUGGAGCUGAAGACAGUGUCGACUUCACUGACAUCCCCCAUGCAACAUUCCCGGCUAAAUGCCAAUGGCCUGGCUUCUUACAGGAAGUGAAGGCUGCACUCAGAGCCAAAGGCAUUGAAUGAUUGGAUGAAGAGAGGCAACUAAUUAUUUGAUACUCUCCCUGUGGACACGUACAAACACACACACGUGAGCACACAUGUACGUUUUUAUAAGAUUUAUAUAGUGUAGAAGAUUUUGUGGUCCGAUGAGGCUACAGUUCAGCUUUAUGACCUGAAAGCAAAUUUCUUUCCCCAUCACCCAGAAGGCCUGUAUUAUAAAAUGGCCCAACCACAGUCAAGCUUUAAAUCCCAUGGGAGAUCUGUGAUUGGGGCUGUGGGGGACAAAAUCAUUUGUGCCAAAUUAAGUUUGACAUGAAAAUCCACAGGACAGUACAUCUCAAGGAACAGGGUUGGGCAGCCCUGGCCUAGUGCCAAUGCAAGCUAUUUACCCUGAAAAUUCACAAAACCAUGAAAGAUUUGAAUCCUAUUGCAGCUCAAUCGGGGCCAAAAUAAUUCAAAAUAAAGGCCAAAAAUGUGUAAAGAAUACACUGCCUGUUGUUCAGAAUUAAAAGUGUACUGUGCGAGUUUUUUGCGGCCGUUCUACACUCUGUUUGCUUCCUUCUCUGUCCUCAACCCCUCCGUCACCCCCAUUGAGGACGCACCCUCUAGCGCUACAAGCAAAAUGUCAAGCGAAGUGGUGGUUGGAGAUAUUGAAAAUCACAUUUUUUAGCAACAUGAAUGAGUUGAUAUUCUCUGUUCUGAUUGGGGAACCACCCUGUCCUGGGCCUAACUGAAACUCAGUCACCCCAGGCCUGUUCUCUCUCACUGCCAAACUCUAUCCUUACCCUGACCUGUGCUACAGUUGUGAUCAGACCUUUUCUUUUUUUAACUUUAACUUUGUGUGAGCCGUUUAUGCUUUUGGGUUUAUUUUAGUUUGUUGUGUUUUAGUUGUUCAUUAACAGGGAUGGGGAAAGUCCAGGUCCACCUUCCCAUUGCGGGGAGGGGGGGGGGGGGGGUGAGCUGAACUCCUUCUUUUCUUUCUGCUUGUGUGUAUUUACUUAUUUAUUUGUGAUAAUAAACUUCCUUCCUUUCAUUUUA
This is a long non-coding RNA of Anguilla rostrata (American eel), 1963 nucleotides long. RefSeq lists it as uncharacterized. Lineage: Eukaryota; Metazoa; Chordata; Actinopteri; Anguilliformes; Anguillidae. The transcript is spliced from 4 exons. The record is from RefSeq and is a predicted model, not a curated record.